Molecule: long non-coding RNA, 646 nt
Filed under: Ananas comosus (pineapple)
Lineage: Eukaryota; Viridiplantae; Streptophyta; Magnoliopsida; Poales; Bromeliaceae
Description: long non-coding RNA (ACOM_LNC015171)
Source: RNAcentral
UGAUCUGGUUUGGACCUGUGGUUUGGACCCAACGAGGACGUCAAGGUCUAAACAGGGGGAGUUUGUAAGGUCCCCAAUAGUCCCACAUCGGAUGGGAUACUGAUUCCGAUCAGUUUAUAUGAGGCCUACACCCUAAUAAUAAUAACUAGGCUUAAGCAUUUUGGGCCGGUGGUUUGGGCCCAACGAGUUAUUGUUGCUAGCGGGUCGGGUCGUUGCACGAUAUAAUCAAUUUCAAAUUCACUGUACGAUUUCAUUUCAGCCGUCCAUUUCUUUUUCACGGCUAUGAUUCUGCCAUCUCUUUUUGUCUUAUAUGUGGCAUUAGUUAGGUUAUCUUAAUUGCCGCCGUCUUUUCAUCAUUAUAGCCGAUCUCGAGAAUCAAUUUCGAUGUGACGGCUCCUUUUCUUCUUCGCUAAGUUUCUCAUUCUCUUUUAUACUCAGACUUCGUCUUCCUUGCUUUCUCUUUGCUUUUCUUUGUCUUCUCUGACCUCUUCUUCAUCUCUUAGCUUGAUCUAUUUCCUUCUUCUCGAUUCUUCAGAUUUUUCUUCUUCUUUCGGCAAUGGCGCCGCUUCCGCCUUUACCUUCUCUUCCGUCACUGGAUUAUACCCUGCUUAAACCAUAUCUUUCUUCGAACCCUACUAGAUUCAUC